CGUUUUUUGAUGAUUUGAUCUUUCAUCUCAUGAGAUAAAAUUGCAUGUCCAAACGCCUGCUAAGUGAAUAUAAAAUGACCAAAACAGCCCCUUACCUACCCCAACCAGAAGAGUUUAAUGACCAUGAACCAUGCCUUAUCUUCAUUUCUCUUCUUAUAUUAUAAAAUAUAGCUCAGUAACACAUCCAUCCUAUUUCUAUCCACUUUAAACACACACACACAAAAAUACACAUCUGUCUGCAAUUUUUUCUUUGGUAAGUUAUUUAGUUUCUUGCUUAACAAAGAUCAUGUAUUUUUGCUUGAAAUUGCAAACAAAUGUUUCUGUUUUUGUCGCUUGUUAGCUUAAACAGUGCAUUCAUCUGCAAUUUACACAGUACCUUUCUUUUGUUUAACACCAUCUUUUCCAGAUCUUGGAAAACAUGUACUCGCGUCCCAUAUUAGUUGUUUUGUUUCACUUUUUGAGAGCUCAGUGGACUAAUUUUUGACGUUAAAUAGAAUUAGACUAAUUUAAUAUUUUAAAAUUAUAAUUUAAAUUUUAAAAAGCUAUAUGAAAAGUAAUAUAUUAGUAGAAGUUUAUAUAGCUUGACUUUUAAAAAAGAAAAUUGGACUAAGUAAUAAGGUUCGGAGCAUUAUCUUUUUUGAUAUAAUUGCUGUAGAGGGUUCUUUCUCUGGGAUCUCUUAGCUUAAACAGUAUAUUACUUUCAAUUUUGAUACAAAUUUACUAGUUCUGUUCAAUCAAAAUUGUACCUUUUUAUUCAAAUUGCUAUAAAGGGUUCUUGCUCUAGGAUUUGUUAGCUUAAAAAUAAUAUUUCUCUGCAAUUUUGAUAUUUUUUCUUUGUGUCAAAAUCAGAUCUUUUUCUUCAGAUCGGUAGAAAGGGUCUCUCUUUCUUGGAUUUAUAGAUCAAGAUUGUAUCUUUUCCUUCAAAUUUUCUCUAAAGGGUGUCACUCUCUAGGAUUUCUAAGCUUAAAUUUUUUUUCCCCCCGUUUUUUCUAAGCUUAACUAAUGAUAGUUUAUCUGUGCAUGGUAAGUAUACAUCACGUUACGAUUCGAUGUCAUCUUUCUCCGACGACGAUUUUGUUUUGCAGGCAGAAGAAGCUCUGAUUCAGCGACAACAUAGACAUAGGGACAGUGUCUUCAAAUCAAUUACCAUUCAAGAAAAUAUGGUCCUCGGUAUCAAGUGCUCUGAGUACAUAAUGGUGGAGAAUUGCCACCGAAAUUAUUCCGUCUCAAGUCUAGCACCAAUAACUGAGCAAUGUGGAACCUAUUUACUGUAGUAGUUGUGUGAUAAAUCGAGAAAUUUACUGCUACUCACUCCGGCAACCCUAUUCUUAAGGUUAAGGCAGCUCCCAUUUCACAAAGGCAUCUUGAGUACCCUUAAAUUCCUGGAUUUAUCACACAACAACGACUUUGGUUCCCCGUUGCUUUGCUCUCCUUGGUCCUGAAGUUGAUGUGCAAGUUUUAUUUGGUCCUGAGUUAGGCUUCAGCCUCUUCCGUUUCAACCCAAUGUAUAUAUGCAGCCCAACUUAGAUAUGUCUUAGCAUCAAUUUCAUCCCAACUUAGAUUUUGUGAAUCAAUUUUUUGUUGAUGACCCUCCGGUUGGAGAUGUGACUUCAAAUAAUUUCAGCUUAUCUAAGUUGGGCUGAAAUUGAUGCUACGAUAGAUAUAAGUUUGGCUGCAGAUCUACAUUGAGUUGAAAUGGAGGAGGUUGCAUUCCUAGGUUAGGACCAAAUAGAGCCUGUAGAUCAUGGACUUGACAAGGAAUAAUUUUGGUUGGAGUCUUUCGCUGUUAUAUACUUGGAGCACUUCAUAUUUGAGAUCCAUCGUCUUGGAUGGUAAUCAAUUUAAAGGAACUGUCCUAUGUCCUCUCCUCUAUGAUUCCGAUGGUUUGAUACAAGAAACAUGUAGCGCAUAUUGCGUUUCUUUAACUUAUUUAGUAGGUAACCUAUUUCACUUUUUCAUAUUAUCAAUUCUACUUUUUAUGGACAAUUACUUGUUAGUAUCUUUAUUAGUUUUGGUAGGGUAAAAGUACUUAUAUAUUGUCAGUGUAUAGAAGUUAAAACUCUUUUCAAUAACAGUGGUAUCUGAUCAGUUUGCACGUAACUGUACUUCUGUAUUCUCCCAUGGGUAUAAUCCACUAAGACUUAGGUUGAUGAUAAGAAAUCUAUCUUAUUUGCUGUGUCUCUAUUAGGCCUUCUACUUUCUUUUUUAGAAUUCAGUUCUGUUGUUCCUUUUACUUAGUUUUCGAUCAUUCUUAUCAAUCCAAAAAGAAUAAUUGUGGAUCAUUCUUGUAUAUUGGUAUACAAUUGGGAUUUGAAUAAACAUUUAGCCUCUAUGUAUAUAUGUAUAUUUGAUUAUCUGAGGUCUAUCUCCUACACCAUAGUUCUGAAUUAAUUGGAAUCCAUAACUUGAUAUCUACUUCAUUACAUUUAGGUUGCUUUACACUAUAUUUAUAGUAGCCCCUCAACCGCAUAGGGUAUUGCUAGAUAAUCAUUCAAUAAUAGACAUGGAGUAAAGGAAAAGAACAUGUGCUUUCUAUAAUCCAGUGAGCAUGAGUAAAUCAAAGUCAGCCAACAUUUGUUAUUCAAGUUGCAGUAAUUUUUCAUGAUCACAGACGCAGGCUGCUUAUUUGUUGAUUUUCUACAAUUGAAUGGGUUUGACCACUUUGGGAUCAGCUUGUGAGGUCAUCAGUAUUCUUUCUGUAUUCUCCUUAUUACUGCAUCCGUCCCAAUUUAUGUGGCAUCGUUUGACUAAGCACAAAGUUUAAGAAAAAAUGAACGACUCCUGAAAUUUGUGGUCUAAAGCAAACUAAGACAUUUGUGUGGCUAAAAAUAAUUUCAUUAAUUAAGGGUAAAAAGGGAAUUUUGAAGUUGAGUUGUUUUUAAAUAUAAUAAGUGACAUUCUUUUUGGGACAACUAAAAAGUAAAGUGUGCCACAUAAUUGGGAUGGACGGAGUAGAAUCUUUGGUAUCAAUUUCUCAGCAACAGCCCCAGGGGUUGGUUCUAAUGGCAAAGGUUGAGGGGACUUGUAUCUUUGGUCAUAAGUUCGAGCCCUGCAUCAAGCAAACUCAGUCUAGUAUUUAAGUGUGUUAGGGUAGAGGGCCGGGCCCAUCAUCCUCAAAUUUCGAGAGCUGCGGUUAGCCCAAAGGCUUGGCUUCAAACAGAUUUCUCGAACAUAGCGGUGAAAUAUAUGCCUUGUUGAACUUGAAUCCAGGCAUAUAGUUCAUCUGAUAUUGGUCUCAAAAUUUCUUUUACACUUUGUAAUAUUUUACCAUACUAGUGCCAUCUUUAUAGUUGAUUUUCCCUGUUCAUUUAUUUCCUCUUUGCGUAAGUGAUGAUAACUCAGUUUAGAAGACACCAUGAGGCUAAGCAAGUAUUUGUCUGACAGAAUUCGUCUGUUUUGCAAGUAUCUUAAUGAACACAAAGUGGAGGUAGUUGCAAAGCAGAUCCAGGAUUUUAAUUCAAUUAGUUCAAUCUUUAGGUUCUUAUCACUGAACUCAUUAUAUAUUUGAAAUUAUGGGUCCAAAAAAUAAUAUUUGUGAAGAUUUUGGUUUUUUUUUUUCUCCUACACUUGUGGGUUUUCCCAACCUACUACAUAAAGGUGUUAGGUUAAAAAAACCAUAUGCAUAUAUAAAUAUAUUAUCUGGUCUAUUCAAAAAUAUUGAACUCAUUCAUUUUUUGGAAAAGGGUCAAAAAUAUCCUUCUACUUUGUUUUAAUAGAUAAAUUUGUCCUCCGUUACAAUUUUGGGCUAUUUAUGCCCCUGCCGUCACUAAAGUAUUAAAAAAUACCCCUAUGUAGACGGAAACCCCCAAAUCCCCCAAAAUAACCCAAUUUUAAAAUUAAACCGCUUCAUAAGUAAAAACCUCCCAACUUAAUUAAUAACCCAUACUAAUAUUUACCCUCAAACGUAUUCUAUCUUGUCUUCUCUUUCAAUUAGGGUUCUUCUUAGGUGUGUUGGCCGAAAUAUUUACCCCCAAGUGUUGUCUUCCAUUGCUCAAGUAGUUUUCCCUUCUUAAUAGAUUUUCCCUCUCAUCAAGUAGUUUAGUGUAUGAAAAUUGAGCAAAAUAGUUGUUCAUCGCAAAAGAUGUGCAAUUGUGGUUUGGUUGCAAAAGUUCUGACUUCCACACUCCCGCUAAUUCGGGAAGAAGAUUUUUCAGAUGUCCUCGUCUGGAUGUAUGUCCAUUUAAGGAAACGAAACUUUAUAGUUAAAUGGACAUACAUCCCGACGAGGACAUCUCAAAAUUUUUCUUCCCAGAUUAGCGGGAGUGAUGGAAGUCAGAUUUUUCGCAAUCAAACCACAAUUGCACAUCCUAACGAACAACUAUUUUGUGACAUUUUCAUACUCUAAACUACUUGAUAAGAGGGAAAAUAUAUUUAGAAGGGAAAACUACUCGAGCAAUGGAAGACAACACUUGGGGGUAAAUAUUUCGGCCAACCCACCUAAGAAGAACCCUAAUUGAAAGAGAAGACAAGGUAGAAUACGUUUGAGGUAAAUAUUCGAUCGUAUGGGUUAUUAAUUGAGUUGGGGCAGGUUUUAAUGAUGGAGCAGAUUAUUUUUGAAGUAGGCUUAUUUUGGGGGUUUUCGUCUACAUAGGGGUAUUUUUGAAUACUUUAGGGACGGCAGGGGCAUAAAUAGCCCAAACUUGUAACGGAGGACAAACUUAGCUUUUAAAAUGAAGUAGAGGUUUUUUUUUUACCCUUUUCCCUUUAUUAUAUACUCCAUCCUCCUCAGGGUGGUUGGCUAUUUUAGCAUCCGGGUGGUUGUUGAAUUCAGUGAAUUGGAAGCAACUUUGGCCAUUGAUGUUUGCAAUUUUCCUGGAAUGAAUUCCAGAGAGCAGUAAAUAUGUUCACGGUUUUCUUUUUUCAGAUGCAAAAUGGAAAUGCAUUAUCCCUCAAUUUUGGGUAGUCAAUGUGCAGUUUAUAUGGUCUUCGGGCACUUUAUACUUGAUGAUCAUUGUCUUGAAUGGUGACUUUAUGGUUUUGCUGGCUUCCAGUGUCAACUCCGCCAGAGCUGGCUAGUGCUCCUUAUUGUGAAGAGAAGCUUGUGGUGAUAUUGGUAGAGUUGAUUGCUAUAUUCUUGUAAGAUUAUUCUUGUUCUCAAUAACAGUAGUUUCUACCAGCUUGUGCACAUCUCGGGUUAUCCACUAUUACCUAUAUUCUCCCACUAGUACAGCUCAAAAAGACUUGAAUAGAUAGAAAGAAAUUACCCUAUUUUUUGUCUCUGGUAGGCCUCUUUUUUUUUUUUUAGAUUUCUGUUUUUAAGCUUCAAUUCUAUUGUUUCUGUUAGUUAAUUGUAGCUCUCUUUCCUUGCUUUUACUAGUUGCCUUGGGGUUGACUCCAUGAAUAUUAUGCUCUUGGAUAUCGCUUUAUUUGUGUUGUCUUAGUCUUAUAGCCUGUUUGAUCAAACUUUUAAAAUCAACUUAUUUUAAAAAGUUUUUUUCCAAAAGUACUUUUCAAAAAAAAUACUUUUGGUGAAAAGUAGUUUGUGUUUGGCCAAUUGAUUUAAAAAGUACUUUUGAACAGCAAUUAGUGUUUGGUCUAAACUUUUAAAAAGUGCUUCUAAGAUUUAUUUAUUUUUCAAAAGUACUUUUCAAAAAAUUGUUUUUGGGCAAAAGCUAUUAUUUUAGCUUCUGAAAAAAUGUUUCCUGCUACUCCCCAAAAACACUUAUUUUUCUCCCAAAAGUUUGGCCAAACACUUCACUUUUUUUAAUAUAAGCACUUAUUGAAAAAAUAAAUACUUUUUUGAGGGAAAAUAAGCUUGGCCAAACAGGCUAUUAGACUAUUUCUACAUUGUUCGUCAACGUACUGAAAAUCUCUUCUUUUAUCCAGUCUCGGCACUAGGUAUUCUUUGCUCACAUAAGUGUAUAUUUGUACAUUGAUGUGUAUUACUUUCUCUGAAAUGACCUCGAGAGAAAAGAAGUGUUAUGAUGCUUAUUUUUAGGCUGCAAAUGGAAAACCAUAGUUCAUCAAUUUGUGCAGUCAGUAUGCUAUUUAUAUGGUCCUCGAGGUGUCACGUUACUGAUAAAAAUGAACAUGUUAGUUAACAUUUUUAAUUAUGUUACUAUACCUUUUUUAUUUUUUUAUUUUUAUAAUAGUGGUGUUCGAGUCAGCUAAAGCGUACCUCGACUAGUUUACUAGGUACCUGCUAGCUCCUGCCAGCGCUUGUUCUGGGUAACUCUGCCUGCAAGGCUUAGGCAGAUGAAACAAAAUUAAAUCGCCUAGCGUUUUUUUUUUCUGCCCACUGCUAGGUCGGACCCUUGGUUGCUUUAUAUUACUGUACAUUUUUCAUUCUGUUACUAUACUAAUAGUGGUGUUCGAGUUAGUUAGAGCGUCCCCCGACUAUUUCACCGGGUAUUUGUUGCUACUUCCCACCAACAUUUGUUCUAGGCAACUCUGCUCACAAAGCUUAGGCAAAUAGAUAAGAAAAAGUUACCUAGCGUUUUUGUUUCUGCCUAUUGCUAGGCUAUACCCUUGGGUGCUUUAAGUUACUUUACAUUUUUCAUUAUGUUACUAUACUUUUCUUUUUAUAUGACAAAUGUGUUCGAGUCAGCUAGCGCGUACGUCAAUCAUUUCGCCAAGUAGCUGCUACCUCCAUACAACGCUUGUAUUAGCUAACUCUGUCAGCAAGGUUAGGCAGAUAGGAAGAAAUUCUAGUGUUUGUCUUAGGCCACUGCUAUUGGGUGCUUUAUGUUGUUGUACAAUUUUCAUUAUGUUACUAUUACAUUCCAGCACCUAUGUGUUGUGUAAUUGUCAUUUUUCAGCACAGUGCCUCAUCCUGCGUACUGCUUCAAACAGCCAAGAGCUAACCUUGACAAGCAAUGUGGUCGAAGUCAUUGCUUCGUCGCUUACUGAGAUGAAGCUAUGCGAAAUGAGGGGUUAUCAGUUUCUUGAAUGUUAACUUUUGGAGCUGAAUUUAUAUUGACGUUGUACAUUGGAUGGUGAAAUUAGUUAAUUUAAUUGGAAUUUGAUCAUUACAGUACUAAAUUCAUAUAUAUUUGAAAUUCUUGUUAUUUCUUCAUGCGCUUCACUUGAAAGAAGCAUGUGGUUCACUUCACGUUUUCCAUACAAGGCUCA
This is an RNA transcript of Lycium barbarum (goji berry), 7071 nucleotides long. RefSeq lists it as uncharacterized. NCBI's taxonomy places the organism in Eukaryota, Viridiplantae, Streptophyta, Magnoliopsida, Solanales, Solanaceae. The transcript has 2 exons. The record is from RefSeq and is a predicted model, not a curated record.